This 244-nucleotide ribosomal RNA is filed under the name uncultured bacterium. RNAcentral describes it as "partial 16S ribosomal RNA". It matches the Rfam family "Bacterial small subunit ribosomal RNA", at positions 89 to 334 of the family's 1533-position model. The record is from RNAcentral.
UGGCGACCGGCGCACGGGUGAGUAACGCGUAUGUAAUCUACCUGUAACAGGGGGAUAACCCGGAGAAAUCCGGACUAAUACCUCAUAGCACAUAUUAUUCGCAUGAAUUUUAUGUUAAAGAGACUCGGUUACAGAUGAACAUGCGUUCCAUUAGCUAGUUGGCGGGGUUACGGCCCACCAAGGCAACGAUGGAUAGGGGUUCUGAGAGGAAGGUCCCCCACAUUGGAACUGAGACACGGUCCAA